AUAUAUCACAGAAGUAAUGAAGUGUUAAUUCUGGUCUCUUAUAGCCAUUGAGCCAUAAAUGGAUUCCAAGACUUCCAUUAGGCUUAUCAUAAUCUCGAUGCUUUUCUUUCUGUUUCUCUCAUCUGCAAAGGUGAUUGCUGACCCAAGCAAUGUCGUCCCACCAGCCAAAAAGAAGAGUUCCUUGCCACGAGCAAUUGUUGUCCAAAGAAAACUUAAAUCGCUGCCUACGGAUGUGCCGUCACCAAUUGACUCUCACCAUCAUCCUUGACAUUGCUAAGAUGGUUGUGUAAUUCUUUAAUACCUGUGGGAUGUGAUACUCAUUUUUCUCACAUGAAAUUGAUUCAUGAUGAGAUUUAUUAUUUAUAUGAAAUAAGAGUGUACUGGCUUAUUGUAUCCCAUAAAUACUAAAUAGUUUUCUAA
This is a long non-coding RNA of Quercus robur (English oak), 420 nucleotides long. RefSeq lists it as uncharacterized. The transcript is spliced from 2 exons. Lineage: Eukaryota; Viridiplantae; Streptophyta; Magnoliopsida; Fagales; Fagaceae. The record is from RefSeq and is a predicted model, not a curated record.